UACGUAGGGGGCAAGCGUUGUCCGGAUUCAUUGGGCGUAAAGAGCGUGUAGGCGGCCAGGCAGGUCCGCUGUGAAAACUCGAGGCUCAACCUCGAGAUGUCGGUGGAAACCGUCUGGCUAGAGUCCGGAAGAGGAGAGUGGAAUUCCCGGUGUAGCGGUGAAAUGCGCAGAUAUCGGGAAGAACACCCGUGGCGAAGGCGGCUCUCUGGGACGGUACUGACGCUGAGACGCGAAAGCGUGGGGAGCGAACAGG
Molecule: ribosomal RNA, 253 nt
Filed under: uncultured bacterium
Lineage: Bacteria
Description: partial 16S ribosomal RNA
Rfam family: Bacterial small subunit ribosomal RNA
Source: RNAcentral